Molecule: ribosomal RNA, 645 nt
Filed under: Campylobacter jejuni
Lineage: Bacteria; Pseudomonadati; Campylobacterota; Epsilonproteobacteria; Campylobacterales; Campylobacteraceae
Description: bacterial SSU rRNA
Rfam family: Bacterial small subunit ribosomal RNA
Source: RNAcentral
GCAAGAUUAAAACUCAAAGGAAUAGACGGGGACCCGCACAAGCGGUGGAGCAUGUGGUUUAAUUCGAAGAUACGCGAAGAACCUUACCUGGGCUUGAUAUCCUAAGAACCUUUUAGAGAUAAGAGGGUGCUAGCUUGCUAGAACUUAGAGACAGGUGCUGCACGGCUGUCGUCAGCUCGUGUCGUGAGAUGUUGGGUUAAGUCCCGCAACGAGCGCAACCCACGUAUUUAGUUGCUAACGGUUCGGCCGAGCACUCUAAAUAGACUGCCUUCGUAAGGAGGAGGAAGGUGUGGACGACGUCAAGUCAUCAUGGCCCUUAUGCCCAGGGCGACACACGUGCUACAAUGGCAUAUACAAUGAGACGCAAUACCGCGAGGUGGAGCAAAUCUAUAAAAUAUGUCCCAGUUCGGAUUGUUCUCUGCAACUCGAGAGCAUGAAGCCGGAAUCGCUAGUAAUCGUAGAUCAGCCAUGCUACGGUGAAUACGUUCCCGGGUCUUGUACUCACCGCCCGUCACACCAUGGGAGUUGAUUUCACUCGAAGCCGGAAUACUAAACUAGUUACCGUCCACAGUGGAAUCAGCGACUGGGGUGAAGUCGUAACAAGGUAACCGUAGGAGAACCUGCGGUUGGAUCACCUCCUUUCUA